This is a long non-coding RNA of Helianthus annuus (common sunflower), 563 nucleotides long. RefSeq lists it as uncharacterized. Lineage: Eukaryota; Viridiplantae; Streptophyta; Magnoliopsida; Asterales; Asteraceae. The record is from RefSeq and is a predicted model, not a curated record. The transcript is spliced from 2 exons.
UCGGAUCGAAUGGCAGCCGAAUAUGAGAGCCUCACAUCCCCUAACCCUACUCAUUUCGCUAUAUAUAUGCCGCCUCAACCUUCAUCUCCCAACAUGGUGCUUCAAUCUCUUCUAUCUAGCCACUUCAGACGAUCUUCAAUCUCUCUCGCUGCCGUUCGUAUUUCACACCAUUCAUUUAGUCUAUUUGGAGUUAUAGCAGGUGAGCAUUUACAAUCGGUCAGUGGUUCUCUCAUUUAGAGUGAAGAUGGAUGUACAAGCAAUUGAGCCUAUAAGUGAUAGAAUUGCCAUCACAACUUUGGUGGGGUGGUAGAGGAUUUGGGCCUUUUGGGUAGAGGUAAAAUUUGGUGUAAUUUAAGGGUAGUAUUGUGUAACCUUUCCGUUCAAAAAAAGUGAUAGAAUUUGAUGAAAAAUGGAACUGGACAUUAUACUAAGAUUUGACUACUCAUAACUAAAAUGUUUAUUGUUUGCAUAUUAUAGAUUUGGUGUAAAAAAUUUAUGUCAUAAAUCAUGUAUGGUUUGUGUUUUCUUUUAAGAUUUCAUGUAUGGUUUGUGUUUUCUCUUUA